Unclassified non-coding RNA from Callithrix jacchus (white-tufted-ear marmoset), 287 nucleotides. It matches the Rfam family "Metazoan signal recognition particle RNA". From Rfam's summary of the family: The signal recognition particle (SRP) is a universally conserved ribonucleoprotein. It is involved in the co-translational targeting of proteins to membranes. Lineage: Eukaryota; Metazoa; Chordata; Mammalia; Primates; Cebidae. The record is from Ensembl.
GGUGGCAUAUGCCUGUAGCCCCAGCUACUCGGGAGGCUGAGGUGGGAGGAUGGCUUGAGUCCAGGAGUUCUGGGCUGUAGUGCGCUAUGCCGAUCAGGUGUCUGCACUAAGUUCGGCAUCAAUAUGGUGAACUCUCAAGAGCAGGGGAACCACCAGGUUGCCUAAGGAGGGGUGAACUGGCCCAGGUUGGAAACAGAGUAGGCCAAAACUCCCAUGCUGAUCAGUAGUGGGAUUGUGCCUGUGAAUAGCCACUGCACUCUAGGCAACACAGUGAGACCCUGUCUCAA